CCCCUAGAUGUUCUGGGCCGCACGCGCGCUACACUGAACAGUUCAACAAGUCUUAACCUUGGCCGAUAGGUCUGGGUAAUCUUUGAACGCUGUUCGUGAUUGGGAUAGACCUUUGCAAUUAUGGGUCUUCAACGAGGAAUUCCUAGUAAACGCAAGUCAUCAGCUUGCAUUGAUUACGUCCCUGCCCUUUGUACACACCGCCCGUCGCACCUACCGAUUGAAUGGUCCGGUGAAAUCUCGGGACGGCGGCUUGGUCGCUUGCGUCCGACUGCUGAAACUUGAUUAAACCANANCAUUUANAGGAAGGUGANGUCGUNACA
RNAcentral lists this ribosomal RNA (320 nucleotides) under uncultured eukaryote. RNAcentral describes it as "partial 18S ribosomal RNA". It matches the Rfam family "Eukaryotic small subunit ribosomal RNA", at positions 1470 to 1796 of the family's 1831-position model. The record is from RNAcentral.